Bombus pascuorum is the source of this 7030-nucleotide long non-coding RNA. RefSeq lists it as uncharacterized. The transcript is spliced from 5 exons. Lineage: Eukaryota; Metazoa; Arthropoda; Insecta; Hymenoptera; Apidae. The record is from RefSeq and is a predicted model, not a curated record.
UUGGAAUUGCUGUCUAAAAAGGACUUAAAAAGCCAUUUUUGACACAAAUUGCAAGAACACAGGCUUAAGCCUGGCAGUAUUUGUCACUGGAUCGAGUUGACAGUUUACAGGCUUAUGUAUGAUCAGCCAUAGUCUACCAGUCGCUAUAGUCGAGAUCGCGCUACGACGCUAACCAACAACACCAUAAUAUAAUAAUCCAUAAGCAUUCAACCAAAACUUAGCCUUAUUUGAUAAUAAAAAAGAUAAAAAAUCCAUAGUUAGGUCGCCUAAAAUUGUUAAAUGUAUAAUCAUCUAUCAAUUACUAUAGCCACUAAUUACUAGCCCUACUUCCAUUACCAUUAACCAACAGGCCCGUAAUAAUUAUUUGUGUAAUUAUUAAUUAUUCAAAAAAUGGCCUGAUUUUAUAGGAAACAAAUUUGUUUAAAGCUAAAAUAUUCACGAAUAAGUGACAGUAGCGGCUGAAAUUUUCUAUGCAGCUUAUUUCCGCUGGUACCUAAAGCCACGAAUGAAUAUUCAAUGGGGGUUGCUAUUUCGAGUAGGAUCACGAAGUGCGGAUUUUUCUCGGCGAGUUCGUGCGGGUCGUUGCACCCUCGGCUUGACGUUGGGUGGCGGUUCUAUUUGAUUUCUGGCUAGCAUACAAAACUAAUUAAGGCCAAGACAAACCAUCCGGGACUGGGAUAAAACUUAUUUAUAGAGGCGGCUAAUUUUAAAAACGGCCGAUGGUGUUUUUGCGCAAUGGGGUGCCUCGGUUCCCAAGACCCCCGAUAAUUCCUCGUUCAAUUAAGAAUUUCUGCAACUCGGAUUAUGCCCCUGUAUCGAUCGGUUAAUUAUAGAAAGUCAUUUCGAAGAAAUUUUACGUUUUUGAAGCAAUCAAACCUUCAGCGAAUUUGUAUCUUCAGGAAGAUAAGUUAAACGCUUUGUAAAAAAUUUAAUCGACGCUCUUGAUCCUAAGUUCAGCGGAAAAAAUAGUUUGAGAAUGUAUGACGUGGUAUGUUUGUGGAAAUUGGUGAAAUUUGAUAGAACGAGAAAUUCUAUGAACACGUUAUAUCAACAUAUUAUUUAAUUGGAUGGAAGAAGUUUGAGAAUGUUUGAAGAAUCUUGUUUGUCGAAGUUGAGUCUUGAAUCAUUGGCCAAAGGGAAAUACGUAGCAUACUCUGGGAAUAGUAACAUUUGAUACAAGCACUUACCACACUUGAAGCACAUCUUGUGCCAUUUGAGUCCUCCGGCGACGCGUUCUUCCGCGGCGUAUACGGAUUUGCCGCAUUUGGGACACUUGGGGUGUUCUACUGGCUUAAAAGGCAUCUUUUCUGUACUGAAAAACAAAGAAAAAUCUUCGAUUAUUAUCAUCUAUUUUAAAAUAUUUCAUUUAUUUAUUUUUUCCAUAUGUUUGCCACUUUUCUAUAAGUGUGAACAUUUUAUUUAUUUUCACAUUUUUCAGAUUAUUUUCCAAAUAAUUAAAGAUCAAAUUUAUCCUAUUGUGUGCUGUGAUGGAAUAUUUUACGAAUCUUUUCGAAGAAGAUCGAAGCAUGAAGAGUGGAAUUGAAACGUGGAGAGUAAGUCUCGUAUUUUUCGUAUAUUUUACAGUGCAUAAACAACGAAUAACAAUAACACCGGUAACUCAGCCACCGAUUACCUAAUCCCGCAAGAGGAACAUAAACAGUUUCAAUCUCCGCCCUACUGCCGGAGAACGAAUCUAUUUUUACCAAGUUCGAAUCGCGACGUGUAUUCUCGGUGGCCAAUACCCGCGAAAGAUACGGACAAAAGAACAAAGACGAAGAAAUUAAGUUUCUUCAGGAAUUUAUCACAAUCGUAACAUACCAUCUUAUGAAAAAUUGGUAUUAACUUGAUCGACAGUGAUAUUGUCGAUUAACAUACUGUAUGUUAACCCAUUGAUAAAAUUAAUCUCAAUUCUUCAUCGAACGAUCUGUAUUCAUAGAAACGGAACGAAGAACGUAAUGGAAUGAUGAAAAUUGCAACAAUCCAUUCUAAGAAAAGGCCACACGGUUCCCUUAAAGUUUCGUUAAUCAUCAUUGAUACAUCGCAAAGAGCUCUUAAUAGAGAUGAUAAUAAAAUUACCCUAGAAUGAGAAUUCGAUGCUUAAAUAUUGUAAGGAAAGAGAUUUUUAAGUGCUAUUUUUUGUCAGUCAAAGAUAAAAUGUCAGGCGAGCUUUGAAAGAUUGGGAAUUUUUAAAUUUCCCGCCACGUGGCUUAACAUAACCUAAAAGAAACAGAGGAGUAAAAGGCUGAGGAGUAAAAUAAACACGAGGACAAAUAAAUCAGUCGUGUGCCAAAUAUCUGAAGUCGUAUCGCAGAGACAAGCUUGCUAUUCGGAAUACAAAGUUGCAAAUGUGGAAGUUUCGACGAUGUGACUUUUGGAAGCGGCUCUGGUGACGAGUAUACUGACCACGGUAUUAGUAGAAACGCUAGAGAGACCACGAGAGAUCAGGAAGAGAGACAGAGGAUUCUAUAUCCGUGCAGACGCAAGCCGGAUCGCGAGGCCGUAUUAGGGAAGGUGCUAGAUUCUCCACAACGCGGUCGCCAUUACCCCUACCUUCGCGUCCAGUUGGUCCUUCCUAACCUAUACGUCGUUUUUCACGUUAUCUAUAUCUACUCUUUCAAUAUUGUCUGAGAUAACAAAAUUAUCUAAUUUGUGACUCGACUGACUGAUGAAAUAUUCCAAUGCCUCUUCGGUAUUUGCAAAUCUUCCUAACCUAUACUUCAUUUUCUUCCAUUUGCCUCGGUACUUUUCCAUCGUAAUCAAGGACGACCAAAUUACUUCAUCGUAAUUCGGCCAACUGAUAAAAACUUUCGUUGAUUUCCUAACCUGUAUUUCAUUUUCUCUCAAUAUCUAAAAUAACAGAAAUAUCUUCUCGUAAUUUCGAUAACCGAUCAGGUUUGAAGGUCUUGUCAAUGUUUCGAUCUUAAAUCAAAAUCUCUGAUUGACGAAGGAAAUAAAUUUUAGAAAUAUUGAAAAGUGAUAAUUGUCGAUCGUAAGAUCUAUGAUGACCCUAACGCGAAUUCGAAAGUCGGAUCUCGUCUCUUCUGGUGAAUUCGAUUUUGAAACUUGGUAACUUAGCUUCCAAGUGUUCUAUCGGGUGAAUCAUCAGGAAAAAGUAACGACUUUGCACGCGGUUGUUUGUACAUACGUAUCUCCGUCUAUGUUACAUCAUAAGAACCGAAGAAUGUCUUCUCCACCCCCGUGUAUACUAAAUCCGGACGAUCUCAAAUUUCAUCGCGUUUUAGCGAACCCGUCACGCGUUUUAACUUUACGGCCCGCGUAAUUCUGCUGUGUGAGACGCGUCUGUCUAAAUGUAGCUUUCCACUCGGACAAGCAUUCUCAUCAAAUUUUCCGAUCCUCUGGCUGAACACCGAAGAUUACGAAAGCCAGAUCGUCCAUCCUCCGAUUCGCUUGAAUUCUUUUAAUGCCAUUCCAAGAAUUCUUUAUAAAAUAUACUUUGAUAGAGAGAGAUGAGAAUCGAAAUGAUACUCGAGCUUUGCCUGAAAAAUUAGUCGCUCAACGACCCUAAGAAGAAAAAUAUGAUAAGAUAAACAAUUUUGUCAAUUUUCUGACUUUUACCUCAUUUGUUUGCCAAAAGAGAAUAUUCUAAUAAUAUUGUCAUUUGCAGAGAAAAAUGGGGUAAACCUACAAACUGCAGCGUAUUCAAAGAGCCAAGGAUAUAUUCUGUCACAUGAAAGAAUUCAAAGAUACUGUUCAAAUUCAAUGCUGUAGGACCUAAUGAUCUAAGGCGACAAAAUAAUCUGCUCGUAGACCAAUUAACCUCUGAAAAUGUUUCCAAUGCUUGCAAGGUACUAAGCUUAUUUUCCACCAAAUGCCAGUGUCUAAAAUAACAAAAUUGAAGUGUUUCGUAGGUCGAGAAACGUAACAAUUUUGCCUCCUGCGAUCUUCACUUUGAAUACCAACAUGAUAGAAGAAGGAUAACUGCAAAAUUCUCACUUCCAAUAUGAUCCUUAUUAUAGAAAGCAACUAGCUACGAGUUGGAAUCUCCAAGUGCAAAAUUAUCCAAAUUCAAUAGAAGAGGGACAUAACUCCAAAGAUCUCACUUCCAAAGAUCCAAAGAUCAAAAACCAACCACUCUCUAACGUUUUCUUGGAAGGAUCCUGAAAAUGGGUGUGUUGUAGGUUGUACGAUGAUGUCUGGAUGGCCGUGGAACACUGUUGCUUGCUCGCUGCGUGUACUCUACUACUCACCACCGGAUGUCGGGUUCGAAGUCACGAAAAUGAAAAUCGGUAAACUCGGGGAGGAAGACAGGCGUGAAAGAUGAAAAAACACCGAGUAGCACUCUACACCGCACUAAUACUGGAUUCGAAUGGCUGUUCUCGCGUCGUGCCCGUCCUAGUCAUAGCCAGACCUUUGCACACGGCACGUGUGCAUCGGAACGUCAGUGCUGUUGACGACAGCGUCGCGGCGGCAAGAGGGAGUUACGCUAGCCGCCUUCCAUCUAGCGGGGGUGUUACACUAUACUUUGGGAUACCGAAACGACCGCUACUCGUUAACUCGCUUUUCUUUUCUUCGCAUCUUAUCUCCUGACUCUCUGUCGCUUGAUUCCACAAGAAUUCCAAGCGAUCAUAUUUAUCUGAAUUUCUAUCUUUAUAGACAUAAUCGGAGGAACAACACGUCAGCUCCUAUUUGUUUUAUUUCCAUGUUUUAUACAAUUUUGCACGUUGCGAGAAUUCUAUGCAGCUUUGCAACUUAUAUGUCACAUAGUUACAAGUUAUAUGGUACAUAACUGUAGCUCCUUUUUGCUAUGGAAUGUUCCACAAAUUAGGAUAAUGAGGUUUGCAAGAAGUUGCGACGAUCAGGACAUGUUUGGAAUUUUAGAAUCCAAGUUACGUGAUAUUUGGUGUGGCUGCUUUGCGUCGUUGAAUAUUUCACAAACUGGAGAUGUUAGUGCGAAUUUUCAGGAAAUUGACGUAAUUAAGAGAUAUGGGAGUUGGUAGAGGAUAUUGGACAUUAGUCUAUUGCUGCUUAUUGCUGUGCAACUUUUGACAAGUUGGGAAUAUUAAUGCCAUCAGUGUCGCUUUUAUCAAUGAGUCGUCAGAAAAUUGGAUGUGAAGUAGUGGAACUCUUGUUUCAUGGCUGCCUCUGUUACCGCCUGAUAAGUAGUCUAAUAGAUCUUAUUCUAUGAUUAUUAAACUAUUAAGAUUAAAUUAGGGCGAAACUUGAUGCUAUACGAAGAAGAACAAUGUAAAACAAUUUUAUAUGAACAAAUAUGAAAGAAACACAAAGGGACAGUAGUACAAGAAAGAUCUUGGAAUAAUCUUGCUCUUUGUACCUGGUGCUCACUAAGAUCAUCGCCUCUAACUAAAAUCUAGAUGGUGUGUAAAAGACGCUGCAAACAUUGAGAUAACAAUCGGCAUACUUCGGAAACGUAAUAUUUACGGCAGGAGAAAGAGAGAUAUUCGCCACGGGAACGUUAGAGAAAUAUACAAUAAGAUGGGCCACGAUUUUGUAACACCGUAGUAACGGCGUGGAUUUUUAGAAAGAAACCGGAACGCAGCGAGAAUAUAUCUAUAAACGAGCCGAGAGAGCAAGGAAAGUCGAAGCCUGUAAGAAAUUUCAGAGAAACCUGAGAACUCUCUACGCGAGAUUUUAUUUCAUGGAACGUGAAAUACAGGCCUUGGAGGAGGUUCAAGGAUCUUUCUCGUUCAAUCUUUAAAUCCACUCUGUUUGUUUUAUUAACGUCUUUAUAAAUAUUCCAAUUUUUAUGUGGCUCAAACUUAAUCAAACAUAAAUUAACACUAUUAUUUAUCAUGUUGUUAGAGUUGGUUCAUUUCACUCUCAUCUAAAUCUGCUCCAUCUUAUUGUUUUUUUUUCUUUCUAAAUAUUCAAGUUUUUACGUGGUCUAAACUCAAUCUCGAUUUUUACUCAAACAUAAUCAAACCUGAAUCAAGCUAUUCGUCGUAAUAUCGUUGGAAUUGUUUAAUAAUAUUUCAAUUUCGUCUACAUCAACUUUUUACUCUUCUACGUUUAUCGUUGAGAAUGUUUUUCAGAUGUUGAAAAUUUGAUAUCAAACCUAAGCCCAAACUAAAUUAAACCAAGCUAUUUGUCAUGAUAUUGUUAGCGUUGGUUUAUUUCAGUUGAUGAUUCGCUAGCUUUUUCAAAAUGCAGCGUUUGAAUCAUGCUUCCAUAUUUUUUUACUUAGCUCAAACUUGAGUUGCUUUACUUCAAACCGUAUCAAACUUCAUCAAACUUAGCUUAACUGUUGAUCGCUAUCUCUUAAAAUUGAUAUACUCUUUUAAUCCGAUUGAAAGUUUGAUGAGUAUAAUUUUGGACGAAAAUUUAGGAGUGUUUGAAUAAGGAGCUAAAAAUUUGUCAAUAGCGGUCUGAAUCAUGUCGAUGACAAUGCGCCACGUAUUUUGGUAUUCGUUUACAUUGUGCUACACAGGAAAAUAUGUUUUCUGAGCGAUGAACCAGCGAGAGAAAUACCAAAAUAAAUUUAUUACUCAUACGUUUUGGACUAAUUCCCGGGCCCUAAUGGCAUUCACGAAUUACAGCAACGCGAUACCAUAAUUUUUAAAUUAACACCAGUCGAAUUGGCAUUCGUUCAAUUUUUAACAAAAUCUUUCCCUCAACUUUUUCCUUCAAAAGGUAACUUUCUCCUCUGUCAUCGUCUCGUUAAUUACAAUUUUUAUUCUCGAAUGAAAACGAAGAAAUCUUUCAGGGAACUAACUACAUAUAUUAAGAGACUAUAAUUCAAAAAAAUCUUAAGGCCAAGAAAUUCCAAUCGAAGGAAGAAAAUCCAACGCACAGUCAGUAUAGGACAACAUGGAAGAACUAACUAACCACUUGGAAAUGAAGAAAAACGACUUUUCAAGAGAAGCUUGAUAACUACACAUUUAUAAAGAAUUUCAAUAUGCAAAAGUAUACAAAGUUCAUAUGCUGUACGAAAAGCAUGCACAAAAUAUCAAAAGCGAAGUAGCUCUCGUAUUAUUUAAAUGAUACAAUGAGUACAAAAUUCUACUUUGCUUCCAUUCCUUUGCACCUGUACGUAAAGAGAUCACAAUUUAAA